UCAGGAGUCCCCGGAGUUCUGUCCCAGAAAACCGGACCGUUUGAGCCGCGGGAAAAACUUCGUAAAUUAAAGACACAAUUUAAUUUAGUGCAGCUUCGUAAAUUAAAGACACAAAGCUUGCGAGGCGGCCGGUGCACAACUUUAAUCCCAGCACUCUGAAGGCAGAGGCAGGUGGAUCUCGGGUACCGAGCCAUCCAGACACUUCCAAACAGGUGAAGAGAGAGAGUUCCCGGAAGGAGCCCAGCUGGGGGCCCACCUCGGCGAGACCUCCAAGCAGUACCUCGGCUUCUCUGGGCUUCCAUGUCUACUCUGUAAAAUAUAAAGGCAAGCGGAGUAUUUACAGGGUGACUCAGCUGCAGGCGUUCCCAUGCCUCUUAAGGGGGAAAACCCGGGUCCUCCCAGCAGCCCCGGGUGCCUGGAUUUCAGCGAGGCAGCUGCUGCUGUGCAGCCGCCCAUGACCAGCAGGGGGCACGCGAGCCUCGUGUCAACCGCUGUCGCCAGGCUCCUGCCCAGGAAGCGCGCGAGGAUCCGGGAGGGACCCGAGCUGCGAGCUGCGGAGCAAUUAGGGCCUUUAAUUACCGGGAUUGGAAGUGGACACGCCUCGUGGGGCCUCAGAGCACUGAGUCACUUCCCCAGAAACCAGAUUCCCAGGGCUGGCGGAAGAGGGGGCGGCUGCGCUUCUCUGCGGCCGGGUGCUGGCCAGAACUGGACUGAAGCCAAGACCAGAAUCUAACAGGGUUUAGGGGGUCGGGCGGGAAGCGGGGUGCUGGUUUCUGCUGGCUGUUGCACCGCUCUGCAGGUCUUGUCGAGGGCACCUGCGUCUCUGUGACUCAGUUUCUUCCUCUGUCAAGCUGAGAAGAGCAGCCCCCUUCCCCUGCAUAGUGUUGGGGGUCUGUGGACGACCUUCCAAAUCGUUUCCACAGGACCCAGGUGAGAUGGCCCGCAGCUGUAAACCCAGAACUCAGGCAGGAGCUGCAAGCGCUGAGCCAGCCUGGGCUACUCAGUGAAUUCCAGGACACCCUAGGCUACGGUCUCAAAACAAACACUUCACAGGUUAUCUAUUAUUCUCCCGUUGCUGUCUUUAUUUCUGGUACUGGGAACAGUAGGUGAUGGUGCCCCCGGCUCUGCAGUAAACCCCCAGUCAGGAGUCCUGAGUGUCUGCCUCAGUCCUUCAGCAGCUGUGUGACCUG
Long non-coding RNA from Psammomys obesus (fat sand rat), 1190 nucleotides. RefSeq lists it as uncharacterized. Lineage: Eukaryota; Metazoa; Chordata; Mammalia; Rodentia; Muridae. The record is from RefSeq and is a predicted model, not a curated record. The transcript is spliced from 3 exons.